RNAcentral lists this ribosomal RNA (486 nucleotides) under uncultured bacterium. RNAcentral describes it as "bacterial SSU rRNA". It matches the Rfam family "Bacterial small subunit ribosomal RNA", at positions 28 to 507 of the family's 1533-position model. The record is from RNAcentral.
GAUGAACGCUAGCGGCAGGCCUAACACAUGCAAGUCGAGGGGCAGCGAGGGUAGCAAUACCUGUCGGCGACCGGCGCACGGGUGAGUAACGCGUAUGCAACCUACCCUUCACAGGGGGAUAGCCCGCCGAAAGGCGGAUUAAUACCCCAUGGCCCCAUUGUCCGGCAUCGGAUGAUGGGUAAAGGAGCAAUCCGGUGGAGGAUGGGCAUGCGUGCCAUUAGCUAGUUGGCGGGGUAACGGCCCACCAAGGCGACGAUGGCUCGGGGGUCUGAGAGGAUGGUCCCCCACACUGGUACUGAGACACGGACCAGACUCCUACGGGAGGCAGCAGUGAGGAAUAUUGGUCAAUGGGCGGAAGCCUGAACCAGCCAUGCCGCGUGCAGGAAGACGGCCCUACGGGUUGUAAACUGCUUUUCCGGGGGAAGAAUAAGGGCGACGUGUCGCCCGAUGCCGGUACCCCGGGAAUAAGGAUCGGCUAACUCCGUG